RNA transcript from Camelina sativa (false flax), 1288 nucleotides. It is a transcript of the gene named urease accessory protein F, with no coding region annotated. The record is from RefSeq and is a predicted model, not a curated record. NCBI's taxonomy places the organism in Eukaryota, Viridiplantae, Streptophyta, Magnoliopsida, Brassicales, Brassicaceae.
UUUUUUUUGAAAAACACAUAUUAACUAUUUUUGCUCUGAUUGGGUGUACAUUGGCGGUUUUGGUUUUUUUUUCCUGAAAACCGCAAAUUUGUGUCUUCCAUUCACUGCCUUAGUCUCGUCUUCCGCCGGAGUUAUGCCUCCGCCUCUGUAUCCGUCGAGGAGACUCUGAAGUCUGAAGUCUCUCUCUCUCUCUAUAUCACUCAAUCUUCGUUCUACGCCUCUCGCAUUCUCUUGAUGGAAGAAACGAUUGAGGAAAACGAAAGAAGCGAGGGUGUUGCGUUGUUAAGAGCAUCUUGUAUUACGCAGUGGAGUCAGUGGCAAUUACUUGAUUCAAUUUUACCAACAGGAGGGUUUGCUCAUUCCUUUGGUCUUGAAGCAGCUGUUCAGACUCGUUUAGUUUCAUCUCCUGAAGAUUUGGAAACUCAUAUCAUUCAUCUGUUGGAUAACACGGCUAGCUUAUUGCUUCCUUUUGUCUACUCUGCUCUCAAGUCUCCUGAUUUAGAGACAUGGCACAAACUAGACCGAACUCUUGACGCCACUUUAACCAACCAAGUCUCUUCGAAGGCCUCUGUUUCACAAGGAUCAGCGUUGUUUCGUAUAGCUGCUUCGGUUUUCACUGAGAUCCCUAAUCUGAAAACGAUUCGGGACGCCUCUUUGGGGUCCAAGAACGUGUGUUUCCACCAUGCACCUAUAUUUGGGCUUGUGUGUGGUCUACUCUGCAUGGAUUCCGAGACUUCUCAGAGAGCUUAUCUGUUUGUAACGCUGAGAGAUGUUGUCUCGGCUGCUACGAGAUUGAACUUAGUUGGACCGAUGGGUGCUUCGGUGAUGCAGCAUCGCAUUGCUAUUGUCGCUGAAACGAUUUUAGAGAAAUGGAUGGAUCGUGAAGCUAGUGAAGCGUGUCAGACGUCUCCUUUACUGGACGUUGUGCAAGGUUGUCACGGUUACUUGUUUUCCAGACUGUUUUGCUCUUGAUGAAGCUCCUUAGCUAAACCAUGACUUGUGAUCACAUUAUAUAGUUGUGAGCAAAGCCAUUUACAUAAAAUAAGAGGUUUUAUGCCAUCGACUACAAAUGAAAACAAGUCUCACCCUCAUUCCCAAGGGGAGCAUCGUCUUUUAAAGAGUUUAGCCCACUAUCAUGCUUGCCCUCUGAUUAAUCUUCUUGCAAAGUUCACUUUUAGCUUUUCUAUCUUUGUGGCCUGUUCUCUUUACCGCUUUGAUAUGUAGCUAGCACACGCUAUUUGUCUUUCAUUUCCGUUUAAAUAAAAGUGCCCCGGCCAUUACAAAAUAA